This 816-nucleotide ribosomal RNA is filed under the name uncultured bacterium. RNAcentral describes it as "bacterial SSU rRNA". It matches the Rfam family "Bacterial small subunit ribosomal RNA", at positions 8 to 807 of the family's 1533-position model. The record is from RNAcentral.
AGAGUUUGAUCCUGGCUCAGGACGAACGCUGGCGGCGUGCCUAAUACAUGCAAGUAGAACGCUGAAGGAAGGAGCUUGCUCUUUCCGGAUGAGUUGCGAACGGGUGAGUAACGCGUAGGUAACCUGCCUGGUAGUGGGGGAUAACUAUUGGAAACGAUAGCUAAUACCGCAUAAGAGUAGAUGUUGCAUGACAUUUGCUUAAAAGGUGCAAUUGCAUCACUACCAGAUGGACCUGCGUUGUAUUAGCUAGUUGGUGGGGUAACGGCUCACCAAGGCGACGAUACAUAGCCGACCUGAGAGGGUGAUCGGCCACACUGGGACUGAGACACGACCCAGACUCCUACGGGAGGCAGCAGUAGGGAAUCUUCGGCAAUGGACGGAAGUCUGACCGAGCAACGCCGCGUGAGUGAAGAAGGUUUUCGGAUCGUAAAGCUCUGUUGUAAGAGAAGAACGAGUGUGAGAGUGGAAAGUUCACACUGUGACGGUAUCUUACCAGAAAGGGACGGCUAACUACGUGCCAGCAGCCGCGGUAAUACGUAGGUCCCGAGCGUUGUCCGGAUUUAUUGGGCGUAAAGCGAGCGCAGGCGGUUAGAUAAGUCUGAAGUUAAAGGCUGUGGCUUAACCAUAGUACGCUUUGGAAACUGUUUAACUUGAGUGCAAGAGGGGAGAGUGGAAUUCCAUGUGUAGCGGUGAAAUGCGUAGAUAUAUGGAGGAACACCGGUGGCGAAAGCGGCUCUCUGGCUUGUAACUGACGCUGAGGCUCGAAAGCGUGGGGAGCAAACAGAAUUAGAUACCCUGGUAGUCCACGCCGUAAAC